Non-coding RNA from Pantherophis guttatus, 1340 nucleotides. NCBI's taxonomy places the organism in Eukaryota, Metazoa, Chordata, Lepidosauria, Squamata, Colubridae. The record is from RefSeq and is a predicted model, not a curated record.
GGGAUUUCUCUCCCCCCAGCCCCACUCCCGCCCCAUCUAUCUGCGCGCCCCACCGGGGAGAAGCGAUCGUUGAAAAUGAAGGGGAAGAAUGAGAGCGCUCGGGAAGUGAGUCUCAAAAUCUUUUUUACAUCGUGGUGACAAAAACUGGAUGCAGUAUUCCAAGUGUGGCCUUAUAAAGUGGUAUUAACACUUCAUGUGAUCUUGAUUCUAUCCCUCUGUUUAUGCAACCUAGAACUGUGUUGGCUUUUUUGGCAACUGCUGCACACUGUUGGCUCAUAUUUAAAUGGUUGUCCACUCCAAGAUCCCUCUCACGGUUACUACUAUUGAACAAGCCUCCCUCCACUACAAAAUGACAGAUUGACAACAAUAAGGAUCUACAUGGAGUUUCUUAAAUCUGUAGACUUGUUCUCCAGGUCAGUGAAAGCUCUACUUUUGUUUUCAGCAGGACUGAAAUUGUCUUUUGGGACUUGAUUACUUCACUUAUGUGGGAGAAGGCCUCCAUCUGCCAGGCCACAGAAGGAAAAUAACCCAAGAUGAGGAAUCUCAGCAUACGAAAGCAGGAAAAACACUUCCUUGUUCCUGUGGCCUAAAAAUUGGCUAAUAUUCUUGAGAAUAUAUGAUGAAAUCGCAUUAGAACUGCACUCUUUAACCAGGAGAGCUAUUUAUUGUCACGUAUCAGAGCAGUUCAUGAGUCAGAUCUCCCAUUUUGUUUCAUUUUGUCUAAAACCAUGGGCCUUAGCAAGAGACAACUAAGGAAGUUGCUAUUCCAACCCAAAUACAUGUCCGAGAUGAGCAUUUUCUCCAUAUUGAUGGUGUUUUAAGUUCCUGCCUAAAACAGAUACUCUUAAUCUAUCUCGAAGAUCUAUCUCCAAGGCUUGUCAAAUGCACUGCCUCACUUGAGUAUUACUUGAGUAUUUCUUAGAGUCCUUGCAGAAGAAGAAAAGGGAGAGAAAAUGGCAGAGAACUUUGACACUGCCUAUGAUCAGCCAUCCUUUGUCUCCCUGAAGGGGCACUAGCCAUCACUUGAACAAGCCUAUUUGCCUAGAGACAUAACAGAUAGGCAAGAUGAUAUUGUGGCAUCCCCUAACAUGGCAGAAGGGCCCAGGGAAAAGGACAUUAGGGGAGUCACUUACUUAAACUGCCAGAGGAAAGGUGGAUGCAGGAAAAGCCUCCUGCAAGGCAAUCUGGAUUCCUAGUAAUGUUGAGUCAAUUAAAUAUUGGAGGUAGGAAAGAAUUGCCAUUAUGGAAGCGGUUGGAACUGUGUAAAUUACUGGACGCUUGCAAGCCAUUUUCCUUUCAUUUUGCUUGUUCCUAAUAAAAAUGCAUGAGUUUGGUCCAUA